This 258-nucleotide ribosomal RNA is filed under the name Synergistaceae bacterium. RNAcentral describes it as "partial 23S ribosomal RNA". It matches the Rfam family "Bacterial large subunit ribosomal RNA", at positions 2670 to 2925 of the family's 2925-position model. The record is from RNAcentral. Lineage: Bacteria; Thermotogati; Synergistota; Synergistia; Synergistales; Synergistaceae.
AUCUGUCCCUAGUACGAGAGGACCGGGAUGGACGGACCGCUGGUGUACCGGUUGUCCCGCCAGGGGCACAAGCCGGGUAGCUAUGUUCGGAUCGGAUAACCGCUGAAGGCAUCUAAGCGGGAAGCCGGCCUUGAGAUGAGAUACCCCAUUGCAUAAGCAAGUAAGGAGUCCGGCAGACGACCGGAUAGAUAGGCCGGAGGUGUAAGAGGGUAACGCCCUUUGAGCUGACCGGUACUAAUACUCCGAGGCCUUAACCUC